This 402-nucleotide ribosomal RNA is filed under the name uncultured prokaryote. RNAcentral describes it as "bacterial SSU rRNA". It matches the Rfam family "Bacterial small subunit ribosomal RNA", at positions 355 to 774 of the family's 1533-position model. The record is from RNAcentral.
UGGGGAAUCUUAGACAAUGGGCGCAAGCCUGAUCUAGCCAUGCCGCGUGAGCGAUGAAGGCCUUAGGGUUGUAAAGCUCUUUCAGUGGGGAAGAUAAUGACUGUACCCACAGAAGAAGCCCCGGCUAACUCCGUGCCAGCAGCCGCGGUAAUACGGAGGGGGCUAGCGUUGUUCGGAAUUACUGGGCGUAAAGCGCACGUAGGCGGAUGGACAAGUCAGAGGUGAAAUCCCAGGGCUCAACCUUGGAACUGCCUUUGAAACUUUCCAUCUUGAGGUCGAGAGAGGUGAGUGGAAUUCCGAGUGUAGAGGUGAAAUUCGUAGAUAUUCGGAGGAACACCAGUGGCGAAGGCGGCUCACUGGCUCGAUACUGACGCUGAGGUGCGAAAGCGUGGGGAGCAAACA